GGCGGCGGCGACGCCACGUCGGGCCGGGCUGCAGAGAUCCUCCGCGGUGGGUUCCGGGGCCGCCUCCCGAGCGGGAGCGCGGUCCGCAGCGGGCUGGGACCGCGGGAGGGAGCGAGUAGGGCCAAGGGAUGCUCGGACGCGCCGGUGCUGAGAACUAAUUCUGGGUGGACGUGCAAUUCACAUGCGCCGUGGGUGUUUUUUCUGGGCAGCGGCCCUGGAGCCGAAGAGCAGGGAGUUAGAACAGCGUCUACCAGGGAGCUGACCUAGUUUCGGGAAUUUUUUGGCGAUGCCCCAAAGGAUACUCUGCAGGGCGGUGGAAAACCAAAUCUUCAAUUCAAUUCUGAAGUGCGGCUCCCUUGGUUUUCAUCCCGAGCUCGAUAUGAAGUUUAGCGCUGCAAUGUAUCACUUUGUUCCUUGCUUGUAUUGGGGGAGACACGUUUAAUAUUCAGAAGAAGAAUGAAGCCAAUUGCAAGUAGCUUCUGGAAAUGGAGGAAUGGCAGAAAUCAGGACUACUCCCUUCCCAAGCCCAGGUCCAAGUCUUUACCCUACUUUUUUUUGGGGGGGGGAGUAGAGGGGAUGCCCUUGGCACGAGGAAAUUCCCAGGCCAGGGAUCAAACUCGCAUGACAGCAGUGACUUGAGCCACAGCACUGACAAUGCCAGAUCCUUAACCUGCUGAGCCACCAGGGAACUCGUCCCCUACUUCUUUCCGCCCCAAAGUUGGGAUUACAAGAAUCCCUUUUCCAUGUGUCGUAUAUUCCACUCCAUACCCAUUCCCAGCUGAUUUGCCUCUCCAUCCUCUGAUGAAUCCUUGCCCAUAAUUUGUAUUGCUUCCAGCCUCUGGAACACAAGCCACCUGGCACUGGCCCUCCCUGGAUGGGAUCCAGGGAGCUCUGUUCUUCCGUUCAACAAAUAUAAAUGCCAACGACAUUCAGGACAGUUUGCUGAAUUCCAAAAUCUACAGUCAGGGUUCCUAUGCUCAAGAUACCUAACAUUCACCUUGGUGUUUGAAGAUUCCCCAAGAUGUGGGUUUGGGAAAUAGACGAAAGAAGAGGCCCACGAUCCCUGCGAUGGACCCAAACCAAAACCAAAUUAAUGAAACUUGAUCUGUAGAUGUGGGAUCUUUGUCUUUUAAUAUGUGAGCCUGUCCGAACACGUGUAAAUGAGGAUUAACAUGGAAUCAGAAGAAAACUUGGGAGUUCUCUAAUCGCCUAGUGGGUAAAGGCUCCUGCCUUUUCACUGCUGUGGCUCUGAUUGCUCCUGUGGCACAGGUUUGAGCCCUGGCCCAGAAACCUCCACAUGCUGUGGGUUCAGCAGAAGAGAAAAAUAAAUAAGAGCAACCCUGAACUUUGCAAUUCUCAUUAAAAAAAAAAAGAGAGAGAGAGAGAGAGGAAAAGUCACCAUUGACACUGCAGUUUAAAAAAUACUUACUGCCUCAAUUAAAGGAAACUGCUGUCAGCCUCCUUUAAUCCAAGUAAUCUACAAUAGGGUGCUGUUUUUCGUUCUUAAACACGCUCAAGGAUCAUAAAUUUUACUGUCUUUUAUAGCUUUGGCAAGGUGCCAAAGCU
RNAcentral lists this long non-coding RNA (1566 nucleotides) under Sus scrofa (pig). RNAcentral describes it as "lncRNA (ENSSSCG00040014172.1)". The record is from RNAcentral. Lineage: Eukaryota; Metazoa; Chordata; Mammalia; Artiodactyla; Suidae.